UACAGAGGGUGCGAGCGUUGUCCGGAAUCACUGGGCGUAAAGGGCGCGUAGGCGGCGUCGUAAGUCGGGGGUGAAAUGCUGCGGCUCAACCGCAGCGCUGCCUUCGAGACUGCGAGGCUUGAGCACGGUAGAGGCGGAUGGAAUUCCCGGUGUAGCGGUGGAAUGCGUAGAGAUCGGGAAGAACACCGAUGGCGAAGGCAGUCCGCUGGGCCGUUGCUGACGCUGAGGCGCGACAGCGUGGGGAGCAAAC
Molecule: ribosomal RNA, 250 nt
Filed under: uncultured bacterium
Lineage: Bacteria
Description: partial 16S ribosomal RNA
Rfam family: Bacterial small subunit ribosomal RNA
Source: RNAcentral